RNAcentral lists this unclassified non-coding RNA (222 nucleotides) under Hevea brasiliensis (rubber tree). Lineage: Eukaryota; Viridiplantae; Streptophyta; Magnoliopsida; Malpighiales; Euphorbiaceae. The record is from RNAcentral.
GAAUCAACAAGUAUUCCAAUCGUUUGACGAUUACUCUUGGAAUCCAGAAGCUUAAAACAAUCUUCUGCCACAAUAAAUUUAGUUAGACCUUUCGAUUCGUGAUCAGAUUGAAGCAAUACUCUUCCAACUUGCUUUAAAAUACAAGCAUUCGUCGCAAACCAUCCAACUGUAUCGAAACUUUGUGCCAUAGGUAUAACUCCAUCAACUGAAACAACUCCAUGA